Molecule: ribosomal RNA, 385 nt
Filed under: Salmonella enterica subsp. enterica serovar Paratyphi A
Lineage: Bacteria; Pseudomonadati; Pseudomonadota; Gammaproteobacteria; Enterobacterales; Enterobacteriaceae
Also listed under: 1 other name
Description: partial 16S ribosomal RNA
Rfam family: Bacterial small subunit ribosomal RNA
Source: RNAcentral
GCACUCUAAAGUGACUGCCGGUGACAAACCGGAGGAAGGUGGGGAUGACGUCAAAUCAUCAUGCCCCUUAUGACCUGGGCUACACACGUACUACAAUGGCCGGUACAACGGGAAGCGAAGGAGCGAUCUGGAGCGAAUCCUUUAAAGCCGGUCUCAGUUCGGAUUGCAGGCUGCAACUCGCCUGCAUGAAGUCGGAAUUGCUAGUAAUCGCGGAUCAGCAUGCCGCGGUGAAUACGUUCCCGGGUCUUGUACACACCGCCCGUCACACCACGAGAGUUUACAACACCCGAAGUCGGUGAGGUAACCGCAAGGAGCCAGCCGCCGAAGGUGGGGUAGAUGAUUGGGGUGAAGUCGUAACAAGGUAGCCGUAUCGGAAGGUGCGGCU